AGUCUUAUAUUCAAUAAUGAUAUUAGAUUGCAAAUCUAAAGGUAAAGUAAUUUUUUAAGGCUU
Molecule: transfer RNA, 63 nt
Filed under: Chloroniella peringueyi
Lineage: Eukaryota; Metazoa; Arthropoda; Insecta; Megaloptera; Corydalidae
Description: tRNA-Cys
Source: RNAcentral